AGCACCCUCCCCGGACCUCUCGGACUGAGUGCUCCCUCCUCCGGCCGGACCGCCCGCCUCCCGGCCGCCGGCGACCAACCCUAGCUCUCCUCGGGUCUGGUAAGGGUAUUUUAUGUUCCAGCACUGUUUUUCGAGGUUCCGGUCACCUUUUCGGUGAUCCGAUAAGCCUCCUAAACUUCGGGAAGUGAGCACGAUGAUCUACAACUCGUGCUGAACAUCGUGCUCACCUCCGACAGCGGCAAAGAUGCCCUGGUUAGUGAGUUAGUUGCGAACUUCGCGCUGUGCGCGCAGUUUAACAGUACUUCGCGUCGCUCGUGCGCGCACCGCAGUGGCCGGCAGUGCUCCGAAAGGUGAGCACGGCCUCCGACAUACUGAAACCUGUCAGCGAGUGCGACGGUCGGAUUAAUCGACCUCUGGUUUGCGUGCACGGUCCAGAAAAGCCUAGAAAUCACAUGAAAUGAUGCGAUUUCAUGUAUCGGUAUGGGCUUUUAGGAUUUCUGCUUCGUUGUAGAUGCUGUUGGCAGCAUGUUUGGGCU
This 536-nucleotide long non-coding RNA is filed under the name Ananas comosus (pineapple). RNAcentral describes it as "long non-coding RNA (ACOM_LNC041693)". The record is from RNAcentral. Lineage: Eukaryota; Viridiplantae; Streptophyta; Magnoliopsida; Poales; Bromeliaceae.